ACGUAGGGGGCAAGCGUUGUUCGGAAUUAUUGGGCGUAAAGGGCAUGUAGGCGGUUCUGUAAGUCUGGCGUGAAAUGGUUCGGCUUAACCGGAUCCUGCGUCGGAAACUGCGGGACUAGAAUCACUGAGGGGAAAUCAGAAUUCCAGGUGUAGGGGUGAAAUCUGUAGAUAUCUGGAAGAAUACCGGUGGCGAAGGCGGAUUUCUGGCAGAUGAUUGACGCUGAGGUGCGAAAGUGCGGGGAGCAAACAGGAUUAGAUACCCUGGUAGUCCGCACGGUAAACGAUGUGCACUAGGUGUUGGGGCGGAUGUCUCAGUGCCGUAGUUAACGUGAUAAGUGCACCGCCUGGGGAGUAUGCCCGCAAGGGUG
RNAcentral lists this ribosomal RNA (368 nucleotides) under uncultured bacterium. RNAcentral's name for it is "bacterial SSU rRNA". It matches the Rfam family "Bacterial small subunit ribosomal RNA", at positions 525 to 896 of the family's 1533-position model. The record is from RNAcentral.